Non-coding RNA from Podarcis lilfordi (Lilford's wall lizard), 72 nucleotides. Lineage: Eukaryota; Metazoa; Chordata; Lepidosauria; Squamata; Lacertidae. The record is from the annotation of a GenBank genome assembly.
GGGGGCAUAGCUCAGUGGUAGAUCAUCUGCUUUGCAUGUAGAAGGUCCCAGGUUCUAUUCCCGGCAUCUUCA